CCGAGCAACGCCGCGUGAGUGAAGAAGGUUUUCGGAUCGUAAAACUCUGUUGUUAGAGAAGAACAAGGAUGAGAGUAGAAUGUUCAUCCCUUGACGGUAUCUAACCAGAAAGCCACGGCUAACUACGUGCCAGCAGCCGCGGUAAUACGUAGGUGGCAAGCGUUGUCCGGAUUUAUUGGGCGUAAAGCGAGCGCAGGCGGUUUCUUAAGUCUGAUGUGAAAGCCCCCGGCUCAACCGGGGAGGGUCAUUGGAAACUGGGAAACUUGAGUGCAGAAGAGGAGAGUGGAAUUCCAUGUGUAGCGGUGAAAUGCGUAGAUA
RNAcentral lists this ribosomal RNA (318 nucleotides) under Enterococcus avium. RNAcentral's name for it is "bacterial SSU rRNA". It matches the Rfam family "Bacterial small subunit ribosomal RNA", at positions 387 to 696 of the family's 1533-position model. Lineage: Bacteria; Bacillati; Bacillota; Bacilli; Lactobacillales; Enterococcaceae. The record is from RNAcentral.